RNAcentral lists this ribosomal RNA (482 nucleotides) under uncultured bacterium. RNAcentral describes it as "partial 16S ribosomal RNA". It matches the Rfam family "Bacterial small subunit ribosomal RNA", at positions 30 to 507 of the family's 1533-position model. The record is from RNAcentral.
AUUGAACGCUGGCGGCAUGCUUUACACAUGCCAGUCGAACGGUAACAGGUCUUCGGAUGCUGACGAGUGGCGCACGGGUGAGUAAUACAUCGGAACGUGCCUAGUAGUGGGGGAUAACUACUCGAAAGAGUAGCUAAUACCGCAUGAGAUCUACGGAUGAAAGCAGGGGACCUUCGGGCCUUGUGCUACUAGAGCGGCUGAUGGCAGAUUAGGUAGUUGGUGGGGUAAAGGCUUACCAAGCCUGCGAUCUGUAGCUGGUCUGAGAGGACGACCAGCCACACUGGGACUGAGACACGGCCCAGACUCCUACGGGAGGCAGCAGUGGGGAAUUUUGGACAAUGGGCGAAAGCCUGAUCCAGCAAUGCCGCGUGCAGGAUGAAGGCCCUCGGGUUGUAAACUGCUUUUGUACGGAACGAAAAGCCUGGGGCUAAUAUCCCCGGGUCAUGACGGUACCGUAAGAAUAAGCACCGGCUAACUACGUG